AGAACUUUCCCUUUCCUUCUGAAUCGAUCUUCCAAAUAUCCUGGGAUCUGAAAAUAGUUUUACAUCGGGGAUUACAGGGCGUCAUGUCGGUGGGGUGGACAAAAUAAGACAUGGACCAUCUAUGGCUCCAACAUAUGAACAAAAGUAUGAACAAGACUUACAAGAAACUGAACAGGAUUCACGAAAGGGGAAGGAGCAAUCAUCAAACGUUUACUAAUCGUUCAAAGGUUAUGUUCCGCACGAAAGAGCCAAGAUUGAACUGUCAAAGCAAAAACGAGAAGGAAAGAACUCGAUGGGGAAUAAAAGUAAAGAAAGAUGGGUAAAAGUGUAAGAAAAAGAAGCAGUUGAAGAAUACGCUUGUAUUAUCAGAUUUGUGAUUUAAAAAAAAAAA
Molecule: long non-coding RNA, 391 nt
Organism: Vespa mandarinia (Asian giant hornet)
Lineage: Eukaryota; Metazoa; Arthropoda; Insecta; Hymenoptera; Vespidae
Source: RefSeq, a predicted model, not a curated record